This 269-nucleotide ribosomal RNA is filed under the name uncultured prokaryote. RNAcentral's name for it is "partial 16S ribosomal RNA". It matches the Rfam family "Bacterial small subunit ribosomal RNA", at positions 524 to 792 of the family's 1533-position model. The record is from RNAcentral.
UACGAAGGGGGCUAGCGUUGUUCGGAAUUACUGGGCGUAAAGCGCACGUAGGCGGAUUGUUUAGUUAGAGGUGAAAUCCCAGGGCUUAACCCUGGAACUGCCUUUAAUACUGGCAGUCUAGAGUCCGAGAGAGGUGAGUGGAAUUCCGAGUGUAGAGGUGAAAUUCGUAGAUAUUCGGAGGAACACCAGUGGCGAAGGCGGCUCACUGGCUCGGUACUGACGCUGAGGUGCGAAAGCGUGGGGAGCAAACAGGAUUAGAUACCCCCGUA